CACCUCUCUCUCUCUCUUCCUCAAUCCUCUCAAUACAUUUUUAUAUCUCCAAAUUUUAAAACUAAAUCUUGAUAAUAAACAUAUAUAUAGAGGUUUGAUACUAUUUUUCAUUAUUUUUAUGUAUCAUGAAGGGUAUUAGGUAUCAGCUGAAGAAGAGAGAGAUACGAAAGACAUUAGAUGAACAUGUAUCUAAUUAAGCGUUCAUAUAUCUGAGUUACGAUUAUAAAUAUUUUAUGAGAAAUCAAUAUUUGUUUGGCCGAUGAGCGGUGGCAAGGGUUCUGGAUUUUUCAAGAUGAAUACUUCGAUUUUGAUGAUUCAUUGAAAGAAGAAUUCAGCUAUCCAGAAAAUGGCACUAUCAAGAUUGAGGCUUCAUCAUCAUUAUCAUCCCCUACACCAUCUGAGGAAUCAUCAUCUUCGCCUGAGUCUGAUAUUACUUUCUUGGAUUUCGCUGAACCAUCUUUCGAUGAAUCAGAAAACUUCUUCUUACCCAAGUACCCUUCCGUGGAGAUUGAUUGGGCAGCUCUUUGAUACUUUGUUGUAGUAUUACUUUGUUUUUUUUUGUUUUUAUAAAAAAUAUAUCAUGUAUGGUGUCAGGUAUGGCCUCCUGCAAUGGUGUUUUUGACAUUUGCAGAGGUUGGUGUAGUAGUGAAUAGAGUCAUGUAGAGAGUCAUGUAAUAGUAAAGGUCACUCACUCUCCAUCUUGUUCAUGCUGUGGUUUUUGUAUAUGCAUUGAACCAAAAGGGAGAGACUUUGUAUCAUGUAUGUGUCUUGUUCAUUUCUUAGCUUAAUAUAAUCAUAUCUAAUGUUUUAGUAUGUA
Solanum pennellii is the source of this 817-nucleotide long non-coding RNA. RefSeq lists it as uncharacterized. NCBI's taxonomy places the organism in Eukaryota, Viridiplantae, Streptophyta, Magnoliopsida, Solanales, Solanaceae. The record is from RefSeq and is a predicted model, not a curated record. The transcript is spliced from 2 exons.